CAAGGACCAGUGGAGUUCGGACUUUGUGUAAUAUACGUGAAUAGAAAACUAGUUUUAGCCAUCUUGAAGACAUCCAAUCUGGAGGUCAGAAUUAGAGUGCUUGCGGGGACACGAUACAGAUGGCAGCUUGGACAUCAGCCUUAACCAAAGUGCUCGGUCCUUGACCUUAUCCGAGGUGUUUAAGCUCGUACGUUGGCCACGGACGAGGUAUUUUUUUGUUGGCCAAAGUC
RNAcentral lists this long non-coding RNA (230 nucleotides) under Elaeis guineensis (African oil palm). RNAcentral's name for it is "long non-coding RNA (EGUI_LNC021964)". Lineage: Eukaryota; Viridiplantae; Streptophyta; Magnoliopsida; Arecales; Arecaceae. The record is from RNAcentral.